AGUGAACGCUGGCGGUAGGCCUAACACAUGCAAGUCGAGCGGCAGCACAGUAAGAGCUUGCUCUUACGGGUGGCGAGUGGCGGACGGGUGAGGAAUACAUCGGAAUCUACUUUUUCGUGGGGGAUAACGUAGGGAAACUUACGCUAAUACCGCAUACGACCUACGGGUGAAAGCAGGGGAUCUUCGGACCUUGCGCGAUUGAAUGAGCCGAUGUCGGAUUAGCUAGUUGGCGGGGUAAAGGCCCACCAAGGCGACGAUCCGUAGCUGGUCUGAGAGGAUGAUCAGCCACACUCGAACUGAGACACGGUCCAGACUCCUACGGGAGGCAGCAGUGGGGAAUAUUGGACAAUGGGCGCAAGCCUGAUCCAGCCAUACCGCGUGGGUGAAGAAGGCCUUCGGGUUGUAAAGCCCUUUUGUUGGGAAAGAAAAGCAGCAGGUUAAUACCCCGCUGUUCUGACGGUACCCAAAGAAUAAGCACCGGCUAACUUCGUG
Molecule: ribosomal RNA, 492 nt
Filed under: uncultured bacterium
Lineage: Bacteria
Description: partial 16S ribosomal RNA
Rfam family: Bacterial small subunit ribosomal RNA
Source: RNAcentral